AGGAAAAUAGCUCAGUGGCAGAGCAUCUUCCUUGUACGCAGAAGGUCCCAGAUUCAACCCCUGGCUUCCCCU
Podarcis lilfordi (Lilford's wall lizard) is the source of this 72-nucleotide non-coding RNA. The record is from the annotation of a GenBank genome assembly. NCBI's taxonomy places the organism in Eukaryota, Metazoa, Chordata, Lepidosauria, Squamata, Lacertidae.